This 445-nucleotide ribosomal RNA is filed under the name uncultured bacterium. RNAcentral describes it as "partial 16S ribosomal RNA". It matches the Rfam family "Bacterial small subunit ribosomal RNA", at positions 354 to 796 of the family's 1533-position model. The record is from RNAcentral.
GUGAGGAAUAUUGGUCAAUGGGCGAGAGCCUGAACCAGCCAAGUCGCGUGAAGGAAGAAGGAUCUAUGGUUCGUAAACUUCUUUUGCAGGGGAAUAAAGUGCAGGACGUGUCCUGUUUUGUAUGUACCCUGAGAAUAAGGAUCGGCUAACUCCGUGCCAGCAGCCGCGGUAAUACGGAGGAUCCGAGCGUUAUCCGGAUUUAUUGUGUUUAUAGGGUUCGUAGGUGGUUUGAUAAGUCAGCGGUGAAAGUUUGCAGCUUAACUGUAAAAAUGCCGUUGAAACUGUCGGACUUGAGUGUAAAUGAGGUAGGCGGAAUGCGUGGUGUAGCGGUGAAAUGCAUAGAUAUCACGCAGAACUCCGAUUGCGAAGGCAGCUUACUAAGCUACAACUGACACUGAAGCACGAAAGCGUGGGGAUCAAACAGGAUUAGAUACCCCAGUAGUCC